AUGUAUCAAAGGGGUUUUAGCCCCAAGUGGAUGGAGAGAGUUAAGUCCAUUUUAUACAAAGGUUCAGUGGGAGUUAGGAUUAAUGACUGCAACAGUGAUUUUUUUGAGACCUUUAAAGGGGUGAGACAAGGUGAUCCUGCCUCCCCCAUGCUUUUCAACUUGGUGGCUGAUAUUUUUAGUAGAAUGCUUAAUAAAGCAACUAGGAAUAACUUACUAACAGGGUUUAUGACUAAUGUCUUCCCUCAAGGGGUGACAAGUCUGCAAUAUGCAGAUGAUACCCUCCUUUUUCUUGAUAACAACCUGAUCUCAGCCAAAAACCUGAAAUGGCUUCUUUCUUGUUUUGAGCAUAUGUCUGGGCUUAGAAUUCAUUUCCACAAAUGUGAUUUGAUUCCUAUCCAUGUCCAAAAGGAUGAUGCUCAUAAGGUAGCUCAAGCCUUGUCAUGUGGAUUAGGAUAUUUCUCUUUAAAAUACCUGGGUUUCCCUCUUCAUUACACCAAGCUCAGGAGAGAAGAUAUAUAG
Molecule: ribosomal RNA, 519 nt
Filed under: Triticum aestivum (bread wheat)
Lineage: Eukaryota; Viridiplantae; Streptophyta; Magnoliopsida; Poales; Poaceae
Description: partial small subunit ribosomal RNA
Source: RNAcentral